RNAcentral lists this ribosomal RNA (495 nucleotides) under uncultured bacterium. Its description in RNAcentral is "partial 16S ribosomal RNA". It matches the Rfam family "Bacterial small subunit ribosomal RNA", at positions 28 to 507 of the family's 1533-position model. The record is from RNAcentral.
GACGAACGCUGGCGGCGUGCCUAAUACAUGCAAGUAGAACGCUGAAGGAGGAGCUUGCUCUUCUGGAUGAGUUGCGAACGGGUGAGUAACGCGUAGGUAACCUGCCUGGUAGCGGGGGAUAACUAUUGGAAACGAUAGCUAAUACCGCAUAACAGUAGAUGUUGCAUGACAUUUGCUUAAAAGGUGCAAUUGCACCACUACCAGAUGGACCUGCGUUGUAUUAGCUAGUUGGUGGGGUAACGGCUCACCAAGGCGACGAUACAUAGCCGACCUGAGAGGGUGAUCGGCCACACUGGGACCGGGACACGGCCCAGACUCCUACGGGAGGCAGCAGUAGGGAAUCUUCGGCAAUGGACGGAAGUCUGACCGGGCAACGCCGCGUGAGUGAAGAAGGGUUUCGGAUCGUAAAGCUCUGUUGUAAGGGAAGAACGAGUGUGAGAGUGGAAAGUUCACACUGUGACGGUAGCUUACCAGAAAGAGACGGCUAACUACGUG